CCGUACAUUACACGUUAUACGUUAUAUCCGAGUCAAAGAUACAAGAAGUUUUUUUUACAAGUGUUUUUUUUUUCAAUUUCAAGUUUUUUUUAAAAAAAGUUUAAUUUAAAGUUUUUUUUUCAAGUUUUUUUUUACAAAUAAUUGUUAUCUUAAAAAAAAACAAUACCUACUUUUGUGCGCAAAACCCAAUUAUUUUAAAAGGUGAGAUUUUUUUUAAUUGAGUUGGCUUUACAUUUUACCCUAAUACUUGCCCUCGUGAUUUUUUUCUACCAGGUGCUCCAGGUGGAGAAAAUUCUAAUUGUUUUAAUUAACACCUACAUACAUUAAUUUUGUGUUUUAUUAAACAUUACUGCUUAAAAUUAAAGGUGCUCCAGAGUAAAAAUCGAUCGAAUUCGAUUCGAAACAAAAAAAAAAACCGACCAUCCAAUCAGACUUUUUAAAGUCUAAAAGUGCUCUUUUUGCUAAGCCACACAAUAUCGCCCAAGUUCAGAAAAAAAAACUAUUUGACUCGCAGCCUGAGCAAACAAAAAAAAAUCACCCCCAAAAUCUCCAUCUUGGAACCUUUUUAUUUAAAUGUGUAAAAAAAAAAGUACAUAUUUUUAUUUUUUUGAUCCUGUUUAAAAAUCCUGCAAGGACUAAAUAAAAUUAACAGCAAAAAAAAAAAUACAACACACACUCUCAACUCAACAAUCAAAAUCAUCCAAACUUUCAUCCUCGGAAAACAUCCAGGAAAACAUCUAAAAUUGCACUUAUAACCUAAAUAAGCAAUAUCCAGGAAAAACAUAUAAAAUCAUCUUCUACCUGAGCCUUCAUCUCAUCACGUUUCAAAAAAAAAAAAUCAUCACAAAACCUAUAAAAGCUAAG
This is a long non-coding RNA of Episyrphus balteatus (marmalade hoverfly), 864 nucleotides long. RefSeq lists it as uncharacterized. NCBI's taxonomy places the organism in Eukaryota, Metazoa, Arthropoda, Insecta, Diptera, Syrphidae. The transcript has 2 exons. The record is from RefSeq and is a predicted model, not a curated record.